Molecule: small nucleolar RNA, 101 nt
Organism: Lepus europaeus (European hare)
Lineage: Eukaryota; Metazoa; Chordata; Mammalia; Lagomorpha; Leporidae
Source: RefSeq, a predicted model, not a curated record
UUUUAAAAAGGAGAUAUUUUUUUUAAAAAAAAGAAAUAGGCUAGGACAUAUAAUUGGAUGGAAAGUAUCUACUCUAUUCAUUUACCUCCCAUCCUACAAAA